This 497-nucleotide ribosomal RNA is filed under the name uncultured bacterium. RNAcentral describes it as "partial 16S ribosomal RNA". It matches the Rfam family "Bacterial small subunit ribosomal RNA", at positions 28 to 507 of the family's 1533-position model. The record is from RNAcentral.
GAUGAACGCUGGCGGCGUGCCUAAUACAUGCAAGUCGAGCGAACAGACGAGGAGCUUGCUCCUUCGACGUUAGCGGCGGACGGGUGAGUAACACGUAGGUAACCUACCUAUAAGACUGGGAUAACUUCGGGAAACCGGAGCGAAUACCGGAUAAUAUUUUGAACCGCAUGGUUCGAUAGUGAAAGAUGGUUUUGCUAUCACUUAUAGAUGGACCUGCGCCGUAUUAGCUAGUUGGUAAGGUAACGGCUUACCAAGGCAACGAUACGUAGCCGACCUGAGAGGGUGAUCGGCCACACUGGAACUGAGCCACGGUCCAGACUCCUACGGGAGGCAGCAGUAGGGAAUCUUCCGCAAUGGGCGAAUGCCUGACGGAGAAACGCCGCGUGAGUGAUGAAGGUCUUCGGAUCGUAAAACUCUGUUAUUAGGGAAGAACAAACGUGUAAGUAACUGUGCACGUCUUGACGGUACCUAAUCAGAAAGCCACGGCUAACUACGUG